CAAAGUUGAUGGUGUUUAUGACGUCGAAUAUCGACGUCAUAAACACCAAAGUUGAUCGUGUUUAUGACGUCGAAUAUCGACGUCAUAAACACCAAAG
RNAcentral lists this microRNA precursor (97 nucleotides) under Paramuricea clavata. The record is from RNAcentral. Lineage: Eukaryota; Metazoa; Cnidaria; Anthozoa; Malacalcyonacea; Plexauridae.